GGAUAUGAGGGUGAUCUGUCAUCCCAUUGAUCACCAGGGUCGAUUCGGCUGAUCUGGCUGGCUAGGUGGGUGUCCCCUUCCUCCCUCACCGUUCCAUGUGCAUCCCUCCCAAAAUAUAGAAACAGAGGCCAGGGUAGUGGCCCAAUGCUAGAGCACACGCCCUGGGUUUGAUCUGUGGCAUUGCUUAUGACUCAGUGGAGGUUUGGUUUCUUUCUCUCUCAAGAUAAAUAAAAAUCUUUUUUUUUUUAAAUGGAGAAAUGAUUUAA
This 266-nucleotide small nuclear RNA is filed under the name Erinaceus europaeus (western European hedgehog). RNAcentral describes it as "7SK RNA". It matches the Rfam family "7SK RNA". Rfam says of the family: 7SK was discovered as an abundant small nuclear RNA in the mid-70s but a possible function has only recently been suggested. Two independent studies have found that 7SK RNA binds the CDK9/cyclin T complex (known as elongation factor P-TEFb). P-TEFb activates transcription by phosphorylating the C-terminal domain of RNA polymerase II. Lineage: Eukaryota; Metazoa; Chordata; Mammalia; Eulipotyphla; Erinaceidae. The record is from Rfam by way of RNAcentral.